Long non-coding RNA from Hippocampus zosterae (dwarf seahorse), 363 nucleotides. RefSeq lists it as uncharacterized. The transcript is spliced from 2 exons. Lineage: Eukaryota; Metazoa; Chordata; Actinopteri; Syngnathiformes; Syngnathidae. The record is from RefSeq and is a predicted model, not a curated record.
GAGCUCCUGGCUGGCUGGCUGCCGGGUACGACGCAGCCGGCUGGAUGGAAUUGGACACGCGCUGCGGGGAGAAGGCGCAAACAUGCCGGGAGAAACGGAUCGCGUUGGCGGGCUCGUUUGUUGGACCACCUGGACCAGGUGCCAUGCCAGGAUGAUGGUGGUGAGCUGGGAGCGGUCGCCCCACUCGGCGAGGAAGGUGAGGGUGAGCGCCUGGACGAAGAUGGGCGAGAUGAUGCUGUGCCACCUGGACGAUGACGGUGGCAAAGUCGAGCCGGACCCCGCCUCAACAUCCGGCACGCCAUUGGCCAUUUUGGACCGUUGCAGCUGAGCAAGAAACAAUAAAGAGAGAGUUGUUAUCCCGCU